Molecule: ribosomal RNA, 320 nt
Filed under: uncultured eukaryote
Lineage: Eukaryota
Description: partial 18S ribosomal RNA
Rfam family: Eukaryotic small subunit ribosomal RNA
Source: RNAcentral
CCCCUAGAUGUUCUGGGCCGCACGCGCGCUACACUGAACAGUUCUACAAGUCUUAACCUUGGCCGAUAGGUCUGGGUAAUCUUUGAACGCUGUUCGUGAUUGGGAUAGACCUUUGCAAUUAUGGGUCUUCAACGAGGAAUUCCUAGUAAACGCAAGUCAUCAGCUUGCAUUGAUUACGUCCCUGCCCUUUGUACACACCGCCCGUCGCACCUACCGAUUGAAUGGUCCGGUGAAAUCUCGGGACGGCGGCUUGGUCGCUUGCGUCCGACUGCUGAAACUUGAUUAAACCAUAUCAUUUAGAGGAAGGUGAANUCGUAACA